AACGAACGCUGGCGGCAUGCCUAACACAUGCAAGUCGAACGAGACCUUCGGGUCUAGUGGCGCACGGGUGCGUAACGCGUGGGAACCUGCCCUUAGGUUCGGAAUAACUCCCCGAAAGGGGUGCUAAUACCGGAUAAUGUCUUCGGACCAAAGAUUUGUCGCCUUUGGAUGGGCCCGCGUUGGAUUAGCUAGUUGGUAGGGUAAAAGCCUACCAAGGCGACGAUCCAUAGCUGGUCUGAGAGGAUGAUCAGCCACACUGGGACUGAGACACGGCCCAGACUCCUACGGGAGGGAGCAGGGGGGAAUAUUGGACAAUGGGCGAAAGCCUGAUCCAGCAAUGCCGCGUGAGUGAUGAAGGCAUGAGGGUUGUAAAGCUCUUUUACCCGGGAUGAUAAUGACAGUACCGGGAGAAUAAGCUCCGGCUAACUCCGUG
This 433-nucleotide ribosomal RNA is filed under the name uncultured bacterium. RNAcentral's name for it is "partial 16S ribosomal RNA". It matches the Rfam family "Bacterial small subunit ribosomal RNA", at positions 29 to 507 of the family's 1533-position model. The record is from RNAcentral.